GGGUCCUACGGGACGCAGCAGUGGGGAAUAUUGGACAAUGGGGGGAACCCUGAUCCAGCGACGCCGCGUGAGUGAAGAAGUAUUUCGGUAUGUAAAGCUCUAUCAGCAGGGAAGAAAGAAAUGACGGUACCUGACUAAGAAGCCCCGGCUAACUACGUGCCAGCAGCCGCGGUAAUACGUAGGGGGCAAGCGUUAUCCGGAUUUACUGGGUGUAAAGGGAGCGUAGGCGGCUGUGUAAGCCAGAAGUGAAAGCCCGAGGCUCAACCACGGGACUGCUUUUGGAACUACAUGGCUUGAUUGCAGGG
Molecule: ribosomal RNA, 305 nt
Filed under: uncultured bacterium
Lineage: Bacteria
Description: bacterial SSU rRNA
Rfam family: Bacterial small subunit ribosomal RNA
Source: RNAcentral